RNAcentral lists this transfer RNA (71 nucleotides) under Acidobacteriota bacterium. Its description in RNAcentral is "tRNA-Gly". It matches the Rfam family "tRNA". Rfam says of the family: Transfer RNA (tRNA) molecules are approximately 80 nucleotides in length. Their secondary structure includes four short double-helical elements and three loops (D, anti-codon, and T loops). The record is from RNAcentral. Lineage: Bacteria; Pseudomonadati; Acidobacteriota.
GCGGGCGAAGUGUUGUGGUGGCACGCGAGGCUUCCAACCUCGCAGGGCGGGUUCAAUUCCCGUCGCCCGCU